Mirounga angustirostris (Northern elephant seal) is the source of this 3348-nucleotide long non-coding RNA. RefSeq lists it as uncharacterized. The record is from RefSeq and is a predicted model, not a curated record. The transcript is spliced from 4 exons. Lineage: Eukaryota; Metazoa; Chordata; Mammalia; Carnivora; Phocidae.
GGUAACUGUUUUUGGCACGUCUUCAUUUAAAAAAUAUUUUCAGAGCUUCAAACGGAGAGGCCUCUUUCAGCUUCGGAGGCCCCGAGGUGAAGGUUAUCAAAGGCACCCGGGAGAGUAGCCUUUCUCUCACGUAGGGGCCUCGUGGCCGAACGGAAGGGACGAGGCCUCCGCCUGCACUGGCCUCCCUCGCUCUGAAGCAAGGGGAAGAGGCCUGAACCGACCUCUCAGGGUCUCCAGGGCGACUUCCCUUUCUCCCUCCGCCGUCGGGGGUGGGGGCUGCGCGCGCGUGCAGAGCUCGGACCCGCCCCGGGGCGCGCGGUGAGACGUGAGCCUCACGGCCAAGAGCAAGGCCGGCCGCACGGGGUUUGCUCUCUCGGCUCCCGGCCCCUCGCGCAGGUGCCGCCCGUGGACGCUUCUGGUUAACUCAUGAGGAGUGUUUCCCCUCGAGUUCUCUCUACACCCAACGUGGGGCUCAAACUCAUGACCCUGAGAUCAAGAGCUGCAUACUUUACUGACUGAGCCAGCCAGAUCGCACUUUUAAUGGUGGGGAAGAAGAACUUGGGAUGAGGUCUUCAUUCCCUGGAACAGUUCCAGCCCAUACAGAGACAGCCCUACUGUCAAGAACUUUUUUCCAAGGAGCAUCUAAUGGAUGAUUAAUCCAUGGAACAGACCUUGGUCAACAAAUAUUAUAAGGUGGGCGCUUUUUUGGUCUUGUUCAGUAUUAUACCCCUAGUAACCAGAAAUCACCUGAGAGGUAGUACUGGUUCUUCAGCAUUUUGAUACUGUUAUUUCAGCCUCCGCUGAGGGGCUAGAUUACAUGACUUUUCCAGAUCUCUUCUGAAGUAUACUUUAAUUGUGUGAGAGUUCUGCAGGACAGCAAAAAAGACUGUGAGCCAGGUCUGACAGGAAGCCGAUGAAAUCCAGAUCUAAACCAGCUUGCAGGCACUUAAAAUCACUUGUCCUGUGCUUCCCUCUCCCCUAAGCUCCCUGGUGCACCAGCUUCUAUAUGAGAAACAGAUCCAUAAACUCAGGACUGAGAUUGGGCUUCUAGAACCAAAGGCAGGCUGUCAGAGGGAUGCCAAACAGCUGGUUUGGCGCACCAGACCACUGGAUGUUACUGUGCUCCUUGGAAAGGUGCCUGGAGCGCGUCUCCACCGACAGCCACCCACGUCAGGCCCUCUGAGAGAACACGGAGUUGGGGUGAGGCAUCUGUCAGCGCUGCAAGCCUGAGGCGUGGACCUAACAGACCACAGCGUGACCUGUGCUGGCGAAGAAGAGAAUCCUCAGGUCUGUAGUGCUGUGGGGAACGUGAGCUUGCCUUUGUCCUCGUACCCUACGUGGUCCUUUGUGCAACGCUCGGCGGCAUCUGUCCUGAAGCUUGCAUUAGAAGCGCAGUGAUGGAUCCACCUGCCUGACUCCCUGUGGAGGUUGGGACGGGGCAGAGGACACGGGAGGUGCGGACACGCAGCCUUCAGAGCGCUAAUCUUCUAGCACCAGCUGCACAGUUCUCCAGUGGCCAACUCUCUUAGUGCCUGGAGGCAGCUCUUCUGAGCACCAACUGCAGCACUCUUACCUUCUGCUCAUGUGUUUUAGGUUACAGUAUGAGCAGGUUCAGGGCCUCCUGGGGAGGUGAGGCGUUGGGAGGCUGCACAGGGCCCCACUGUUGAGGAGCACUCUGCUAAUACACAAUUGCAUUUUAUGUGCGUGCCGGUUUAUGCUAUUAACCUUGAAAUUUAUUAUCAGGUUUCACUGUGCCUCUGAUAAGUCUUCAGCCUAAUUAUUGUAACUGUUGUAAUUACUGAGUGCUUAUUACGUUCCAGGAACUGCACUAAAUGUUUUACAUGGAUCCAGUGGGAUACAUAUUAUUAAUUUCAUCUUACAGACAAGAAAAACAAGAUCAAAGAGGUUAAAUGACUUGCUCAAGCUCAUCUAGUAAGCAGUGAAGUUGGGAUUUAAGCCCAAGUGCCUUCCCACUAUGCUUUCUUUCCUUCGCACUGCAGGGCCCUCCACAUCUUACCUUCCAAAGGCCCAGAGAGCGAAAGUGCUAUGCCUGGGUGCAGGCGGCGCCCAGCGAGGGGCCCUGUUCUCUGAGCCCAGAUGGCAAGAAUAAAUUCUUUCAGGGUUAGUGGGAGGGACACGGGCAAGGGAGAGGAGUGUCUAACAAGGAGGGUCACCAUGAAAUUCUUUUCUGUGGCCUGAAGCCUACCCUGAUGUGCCAGGAGCCACGUCCAUCAGUGAGGAGUCUAGGAAUUGGCCCUUGAUUUGACUGGACAUGAGUUAAGGGUUCCGAGUCCUGACCUUGCCAAAUGUGGAGCCACCAUCUGUUAGUUAAGUAAUCCUUCCAGAAGUCUUGCCCCUCCCCCCACCUGACCCAUCAGCACCUGCAUCUCAUUUGCAUAUAGGACCCAUAUCCUCUUUACCCUCCCAUCCCUGCCAUUACCCUUAUAUAAGCACUUUCAAAAAGCCUGAAGCAACAGGGUCAAACUCCCUGGCAUCAGAAGAUGGAUUCUAAUUUGCAUGGAUUCUGAAUCCAUAGUAAAUGUAGGGGAGUCCUGACUGAGUACUUUAAUAUGUCUGGUGGUCAAGUUUGGCUUCCCUCUCAACUGUGUCAGGUCUGAUUACUAUAGUCCGUCCCUUCUCCCAUGACACUGCAGUGGCCUUGCCUUUUUCUGACUGAACCUUGACUGAUACAAUGACUAGAGAAAGAGAGCAGGUAGAACUAGUAGUUAGUUAUAGGCCAUGGCUCUGACCCCUGGCUUGAAUUUGAGUCUAGACUCAGGUCCUGAUCAGUUGUUUGACCUUGGACAAAUUAGUCUCUGCAAGCUUCAACUUCCUGUUCUGUAAAAUGGGGUUAAGACUACUGUGUGUGUUUUACACAGAAGAAAGCAUGUCAUAUCACAUGAGACAAUGUGUACCCUGAGCAGCCCUAAGUGUGUUAACUUUCUGGGUUGGAGCUAAGUUGGAUAACUGGCCUAACAGAAGGAUAAAAACGAGUGGGGAGUUCAAAUACAAGAAUAAGAUCAUUCAGUAAAAAGCAGAUGCAUAUUUGGCUAAGAAGGGCAGUAAGCCGUGAGGGAAGAAGCUCGUCAAUUUUUCUAGUAGUGUUACCAUAUGUAAUUGAGAAGUGUCUGAGAAUGGACAGACCCUGUAAUUAACUCAAAUGGCCUCCCUUUGUGCCAGCCUAGCCCAGGAUAUGAAGAUAACUGGUAUACAUUCGGAGUUUUAAGAGGAUGAGGAAGCUGGUGGGUAGAGAGGUUUAAUACUCGAAGUGAGUGUAAGAAAAUGUUCUCAAGACCUCGGAAAGAAGAAAAGCCCCGAGUCUCAGCUGGGGCCACUUACCUGGAAUGG